UUUGACCUUGAAUAACUUGAAGUGGCUCCCUGGGUGUGCUUUGUCUGCAUCUUCUCCACAUCCACCUCCGGUUGAAUGCCUGCUCCUUUCUACUUGUUGUCACCUUGGACUGGAAGUCUCUCCUCUCCUACCACAGUGCAGUUGAGCAAAAGAGGUUAACCUGUGUAAUGAAAGGUUCUCCAAAUUAGUUCACCGCGAAGCCCUUCCAUUGUCAGGAAUGAACGACAUCACUGAGUGAGUAGCACUGUGGACCUGGGCUUGCGCAGAACUAGGCUAGAAUCUGGGGUCCGUGUUCCACCAGCGACAGCGUCACCUCCUCGUGUCUUUCCUUAUGAAACAGGAUCUCAGCAGGGGACAUAAAAAGUAAGAGAAAACAUGAGAUCAUUUUGCUCGGCACCUGGUGUGUAUAAACUCAAAAGUGCCAUAUGUUUAUUAGUUAUCAUUCUUAUUAUUUAUUUUUAUCGAGGUGUAAUUCACAUUGAACGUUAUAUUAGUUUCAGGUGCACGAUGUGAUGAUUCCAUAUUUGCACACACCACGAAGUGAGCACCACAAUAAAUGUGACGAACACCUGUGA
This is a long non-coding RNA of Herpailurus yagouaroundi (jaguarundi), 575 nucleotides long. RefSeq lists it as uncharacterized. The record is from RefSeq and is a predicted model, not a curated record. Lineage: Eukaryota; Metazoa; Chordata; Mammalia; Carnivora; Felidae. The transcript has 2 exons.